RNAcentral lists this ribosomal RNA (465 nucleotides) under Vreelandella stevensii. RNAcentral's name for it is "partial 16S ribosomal RNA". It matches the Rfam family "Bacterial small subunit ribosomal RNA", at positions 338 to 795 of the family's 1533-position model. The record is from RNAcentral. Lineage: Bacteria; Pseudomonadati; Pseudomonadota; Gammaproteobacteria; Oceanospirillales; Halomonadaceae.
CCUACGGGCGGCAGCAGUGGGGAAUAUUGGACAAUGGGGGGAACCCUGAUCCAGCCAUGCCGCGUGUGUGAAGUAGGCCCUCGGGUUGUAAAGCACUUUCAGUGAGGAAGAACGCCUGGUGGUUAAUACCCAUCAGGAAAGACAUCACUCACAGAAGAAGCACCGGCUAACUCCGUGCCAGCAGCCGCGGUAAUACGGAGGGUGCGAGCGUUAAUCGGAAUUACUGGGCGUAAAGCGCGCGUAGGUGGCUUGAUAAGCCGGUUGUGAAAGCCCCGGGCUCAACCUGGGAACGGCAUCCGGGAAUGACGAGCAAGAGGGAAGGGGAGGAAGCGAGAAUUCCCGGGGUAGCGGGGAAGUGCGUAGGGAAAGCGCGGAAUGCCAGUGGCGCAGGGGGCAUUCUGGACCGACGCUGACGCUGAGGUGCGAAAGCGUGGGUAGAAAAAAGGACUAGAGACCCGAGGAGUG